This 1465-nucleotide ribosomal RNA is filed under the name Bacillus amyloliquefaciens. RNAcentral's name for it is "bacterial SSU rRNA". It matches the Rfam family "Bacterial small subunit ribosomal RNA". Lineage: Bacteria; Bacillati; Bacillota; Bacilli; Caryophanales; Bacillaceae. The record is from RNAcentral.
CGAACGCUGGCGGCGUGCCUAAUACAUGCAAGUCGAGCGGACAGAUGGGAGCUUGCUCCCUGAUGUUAGCGGCGGACGGGUGAGUAACACGUGGGUAACCUGCCUGUAAGACUGGGAUAACUCCGGGAAACCGGGGCUAAUACCGGAUGCUUGUUUGAACCGCAUGGUUCAAACAUAAAAGGUGGCUUCGGCUACCACUUACAGAUGGACCCGCGGCGCAUUAGCUAGUUGGUGAGGUAACGGCUCACCAAGGCGACGAUGCGUAGCCGACCUGAGAGGGUGAUCGGCCACACUGGGACUGAGACACGGCCCAGACUCCUACGGGAGGCAGCAGUAGGGAAUCUUCCGCAAUGGACGAAAGUCUGACGGAGCAACGCCGCGUGAGUGAUGAAGGUUUUCGGAUCGUAAAGCUCUGUUGUUAGGGAAGAACAAGUGCCGUUCAAAUAGGGCGGCACCUUGACGGUACCUAACCAGAAAGCCACGGCUAACUACGUGCCAGCAGCCGCGGUAAUACGUAGGUGGCAAGCGUUGUCCGGAAUUAUUGGGCGUAAAGGGCUCGCAGGCGGUUUCUUAAGUCUGAUGUGAAAGCCCCCGGCUCAACCGGGGAGGGUCAUUGGAAACUGGGGAACUUGAGUGCAGAAGAGGAGAGUGGAAUUCCACGUGUAGCGGUGAAAUGCGUAGAGAUGUGGAGGAACACCAGUGGCGAAGGCGACUCUCUGGUCUGUAACUGACGCUGAGGAGCGAAAGCGUGGGGAGCGAACAGGAUUAGAUACCCUGGUAGUCCACGCCGUAAACGAUGAGUGCUAAGUGUUAGGGGGUUUCCGCCCCUUAGUGCUGCAGCUAACGCAUUAAGCACUCCGCCUGGGGAGUACGGUCGCAAGACUGAAACUCAAAGGAAUUGACGGGGGCCCGCACAAGCGGUGGAGCAUGUGGUUUAAUUCGAAGCAACGCGAAGAACCUUACCAGGUCUUGACAUCCUCUGACAAUCCUAGAGAUAGGACGUCCCCUUCGGGGGCAGAGUGACAGGUGGUGCAUGGUUGUCGUCAGCUCGUGUCGUGAGAUGUUGGGUUAAGUCCCGCAACGAGCGCAACCCUUGAUCUUAGUUGCCAGCAUUCAGUUGGGCACUCUAAGGUGACUGCCGGUGACAAACCGGAGGAAGGUGGGGAUGACGUCAAAUCAUCAUGCCCCUUAUGACCUGGGCUACACACGUGCUACAAUGGGCAGAACAAAGGGCAGCGAAACCGCGAGGUUAAGCCAAUCCCACAAAUCUGUUCUCAGUUCGGAUCGCAGUCUGCAACUCGACUGCGUGAAGCUGGAAUCGCUAGUAAUCGCGGAUCAGCAUGCCGCGGUGAAUACGUCGGGCCUUGUACACACCGCCCGUCACACCACGAGAGUUUGUAACACCCGAAGUCGGUGAGGUAACCUUUUUGGAGCCAGCCGCCGAAGGUGGGACAGAUGAUUGGGG